AAUUUUUUAUAAUGGGGGAAACCCUGAUCCAGCCAUCCCGCGUGUAUGAUGAAGGCCUUCGGGUUGUAAAGUACUGUUGGCAGAGAAUAAAAGGUAUCUCCUAAUACGAGAUACUGCUGAUGGUAUCUGCAGAAUAAGCACCGGCUAACUACGUGCCAGCAGCCGCGGUACUACGUAGGGUGCAAGCGUUAAUCGGAAUUACUGGGCGUAAAGCGUGUGUAGGCGGUUCGGAAAGAAAGAUGUGACAUCCCAGAGCUCAACCUUGGAACUGCAUGUUUCACUGCCGGGCUAGAGUAUGUCAGUGGGGGGUAGAAUUACACGUGUAGCAGUGAAAUGCGUAGAUAUGUGGAGGAAUUCCGAUGGCGAAGGCAGCCCCCUGGGAUAAUACUGACGCUCAGACACGAAAGCGUGGGGAGCAAACA
Molecule: ribosomal RNA, 422 nt
Filed under: uncultured bacterium
Lineage: Bacteria
Description: partial 16S ribosomal RNA
Rfam family: Bacterial small subunit ribosomal RNA
Source: RNAcentral